This 253-nucleotide ribosomal RNA is filed under the name uncultured bacterium. RNAcentral's name for it is "partial 16S ribosomal RNA". It matches the Rfam family "Bacterial small subunit ribosomal RNA", at positions 524 to 776 of the family's 1533-position model. The record is from RNAcentral.
UACGGAGGAUCCAAGCGUUAUCCGGAAUCAUUGGGUUUAAAGGGUCCGUAGGUGGAUAAUUAAGUCAGAGGUGAAAUCUUGCAGCUCAACUGUAAAAUUGCCUUUGAUACUGGUUAUCUUGAGUACAAAUGAAGUAGGCGGAAUGAGUCAUGUAGCGGUGAAAUGCAUAGAUAUUACACAGAAUACCGAUUGCGAAGGCAGUCUACUACGAAUGUACUGACGCUGAUGGACGAAAGCGUGGGUAGCGAACAGG